This 420-nucleotide ribosomal RNA is filed under the name uncultured Nitrososphaerota archaeon. Its description in RNAcentral is "bacterial SSU rRNA". It matches the Rfam family "Archaeal small subunit ribosomal RNA", at positions 459 to 879 of the family's 1478-position model. Lineage: Archaea; Thermoproteati; Nitrososphaerota. The record is from RNAcentral.
CAGCCGCCGCGGUAAAACCAGCACCUCAAGUGGUCAGGAUGAUUAUUGGGCCUAAAGCAUCCGUAGCCGGCUCUGUAAGUUUUCGGUUAAAUCUGUACGCUCAACGUACAGGCUGCCGGGAAUACUGCAGAGCUAGGGAGUGGGAAAGGUAGACGGUACUCGGUAGGAAGGGGUAAAAUCCUUUGAUCUAUUGAUGACCACCUGUGGCGAGGGCGGUCUACCAGAACACGUCCGACGGUGAGGGAUGAAAGCUGGGGGAGCAAACCGGAUUAGGUACCCGGGUAGUCCCAGCUGUAAACUAUGCAAACUCAGUGAUGCAUUGGCUUGUGGCCAAUGCAGUGCUGCAGGAAAGCCGUUAAGUUUGCCGCCUGGGAGGUACGUACGCAAGUAUGAAACUUAAAGGAAUUGGCGGGGGAGCAC